This 491-nucleotide ribosomal RNA is filed under the name uncultured bacterium. Its description in RNAcentral is "partial 16S ribosomal RNA". It matches the Rfam family "Bacterial small subunit ribosomal RNA", at positions 28 to 507 of the family's 1533-position model. The record is from RNAcentral.
GAUGAACGCUAGCUACAGGCUUAACACAUGCAAGUCGCGGGGCAGCAUGGGGGUUGCUUGCACCCCCUGAUGGCGACCGGCGCACGGGUGAGUAACGCGUAUCCAACCUGCCCUUCACCACGGGAUAACCCGGCGAAAGUCGGACUAAUACCGUAUGUUGUCCAUUGACGGCAUCCGAUUUGGACGAAGGGCUUGGCGGUGAAAGGAUGGGGCUGCGUCCGAUUAGCUUGACGGCGGGGUAACGGCCCACCGUGGCUACGAUCGGUAGGGGUUCUGAGAGGAAGGUCCCCCACACUGGAACUGAGACACGGUCCAGACUCCUACGGGAGGUAGCAGUGAGGAAUAUUGGUCAAUGGGCGUAAGCCUGAACCAGCCAAGUAGCGUGCAGGAUGACGGCACUAUGGGUUGUAAACUGCCUUUAUGCGGGGAUAAAGUGGCCCACGUGUGGGCUUUUGCAGGUACCGCAUGAAUAAGGACCGGCUAAUUCCGUG